This 909-nucleotide ribosomal RNA is filed under the name uncultured bacterium. Its description in RNAcentral is "bacterial SSU rRNA". It matches the Rfam family "Bacterial small subunit ribosomal RNA", at positions 33 to 948 of the family's 1533-position model. The record is from RNAcentral.
ACGCUGGCGGCGUGCUUAACACAUGCAAGUCGAACGAUGAAGCCUAGCUUGCUAGGUGGAUUAGUGGCGAACGGGUGAGUAAUACGUGAGUAACCUACCUUUAACUCUGGGAUAAGCCUGGGAAACUGGGUCUAAUACCGGAUACGACCAAUCUCCGCAUGGGGUGUUGGUGGAAAGCGUUAUGUAGUGGUUAUAGAUGGGCUCACGGCCUAUCAGCUUGUUGGUGAGGUAACGGCUCACCAAGGCGACGACGGGUAGCCGGCCUGAGAGGGUGACCGGCCACACUGGGACUGAGACACGGCCCAGACUCCUACGGGAGGCAGCAGUGGGGAAUAUUGCACAAUGGGCGCAAGCCUGAUGCAGCGACGCCGCGUGAGGGAUGACGGCCUUCGGGUUGUAAACCUCUGUUAGCAGGGAAGAAGAGAGAUUGACGGUACCUGCAGAGAAAGCGCCGGCUAACUACGUGCCAGCGGCCGGGUAAUACGUAGGGCGCGAGCGUUGUCCGGAAUUAUUGGGCGUAAAGAGCUUGUAGGCGGUUUGUCGCGUCUGCUGUGAAAGGCCGGAGCUUAACUCCGUGUAUUGCAGUGGGUACGGGCAGACUAGAGUGCAGUAGGGGAGACUGGAAUUCCUGGUGUAGCGGUGGAAUGCGCAGAUAUCAGGAGGAACACCGAUGGCGAAGGCAGGUCUCUGGGCUGUAACUGACGCUGAGAAGCGAAAGCAUGGGGAGCGAACAGGAUUAGAUACCCUGGUAGUCCAUGCCGUAAACGUUGGGCACUAGGUGUGGGGGACAUUCCACGUUUUCCGCGCCGUAGCUAACGCAUUAAGUGCCCCGCCUGGGGAGUACGGCCGCAAGGCUAAAACUCAAAGAAAUUGACGGGGGCCCGCACAAGCGGCGGAGCAUGCGGAUUA